UUUCUGCCCUAUCAACUUUCGAUGGUAGGAUAGUGGCCUACCAUGGUGGCAACGGGUAACGGGGAAUUAGGGUUCGAUUCCGGAGAGGGAGCCUGAGAAACGGCUACCACAUCCAAGGAAGGCAGCAGGCGCGCAAAUUACCCAAUCCCGAUACGGGGAGGUAGUGACAAUAAAUACUGAUACGGGGCUCUUUUGGGUCUCGUAAUUGGAAUGAGAACAAUUUAAAUCCCUUAACGAGGAACAAUUGGAGGGCAAGUCUGGUGCCAGCAGCCGCGGUAAUUCCAGCUCCAAUAGCGUAUAUUAAAGUUGUUGCAGUUAAAAAGCUCGUAGUUGAACCUUGGGUCUGGCUGGCCGGUCCGCCUCACCGCGAGUACUGGUCCGGCUGGACCUUUCCUUCUGGGGAACCCCAUGGCCUUCACUGGCUGUGGGGGGAACCAGGACUUUUACUGUGAAAAAAUUAGAGUGUUCAAAGCAGGCCUUUGCUCGAAUACAUUAGCAUGGAAUAAUAGAAUAGGACGUGCG
RNAcentral lists this ribosomal RNA (522 nucleotides) under Trichocomaceae sp. nPF-62. Its description in RNAcentral is "SSU rRNA". It matches the Rfam family "Eukaryotic small subunit ribosomal RNA", at positions 304 to 833 of the family's 1831-position model. Lineage: Eukaryota; Fungi; Ascomycota; Eurotiomycetes; Eurotiales; Trichocomaceae. The record is from RNAcentral.